UACAGAGGGGGCAAGCGUUAUUCGGAAUUAUUGGGCGUAAAGGGCGCGUAGGCGGCUUUUCAAGUGGCGGUUGAAAUCCCUCGGCUUAACCGAGGAACUGCCUGCCAGACUGGAUGGCUUGAGACCGGGAGAGGUGAGUGGAAUUCCCAGUGUAGCGGUGAAAUGCGUAGAUAUUGGGAGGAACACCAGUGGCGAAGGCGGCUCACUGGACCGGUACUGACGCUGAGGCGCGAAAGCGUGGGGAGCAAACAGG
Molecule: ribosomal RNA, 253 nt
Filed under: uncultured bacterium
Lineage: Bacteria
Description: partial 16S ribosomal RNA
Rfam family: Bacterial small subunit ribosomal RNA
Source: RNAcentral